UACGGGGGGGGCAAGCGUUGUUCGGAAUUACUGGGCGUAAAGGGCUCGUAGGCGGCCAACUAAGUCGGACGUGAAAUCCCUCGGCUUAACCGGGGAACUGCGUCCGAUACUGGAUGGCUUGAGUUUGGGAGAGGGAUGCGGAAUUCCAGGUGUAGCGGUGAAAUGCGUAGAUAUCUGGAGGAACACCGGUGGCGAAGGCGGCAUCCUGGACCAUCACUGACGCUGAUGAGCGAAAGCCAGGGGAGCAAACGGG
This 253-nucleotide ribosomal RNA is filed under the name uncultured bacterium. RNAcentral describes it as "partial 16S ribosomal RNA". It matches the Rfam family "Bacterial small subunit ribosomal RNA", at positions 524 to 776 of the family's 1533-position model. The record is from RNAcentral.